GAUGAACGCUGGCGGCGUGCCUAAUACAUGCAAGUCGAGCGAACGGACGAGAAGCUUGCUUCUCUGAUGUUAGCGGCGGACGGGUGAGUAACACGUGGAUAACCUACCUAUAAGACUGGGAUAACUUCGGGAAACCGGAGCUAAUACCGGAUAAUAUUUUGAACCGCAUGGUUCAAAAGUGAAAGACGGUCCUGCUGUCACUUAUAGAUGGAUCCGCGCUGCAUUAGCUAGUUGGUAAGGUAACGGCUUACCAAGGCAACGAUGCAUAGCCGACCUGAGAGGGUGAUCGGCCACACUGGAACUGAGACACGGUCCAGACUCCUACGGGAGGCAGCAGUAGGGAAUCUUCCGCAGUGGGCGAAAGCCUGACGGAGCAACGCCGCGUGAGUGAUGAAGGUCUUCGGAUCGUAAAACUCUGUUAUUAGGGAAGAACAUAUGUGUAAGUAACUGUGCACAUCUUGACGGUACCUAAUCAGAAAGCCACGGCUAACUACGUG
This 497-nucleotide ribosomal RNA is filed under the name uncultured bacterium. RNAcentral's name for it is "partial 16S ribosomal RNA". It matches the Rfam family "Bacterial small subunit ribosomal RNA", at positions 28 to 507 of the family's 1533-position model. The record is from RNAcentral.